UAGAGACAGAGUAUUGUUCUGUUGCCCAGGCUGGAGUGCAAUGGCACCAUCAUACCUCACUACAGACUCAAACUCCUGGCCUCAAGCGACGCAAGGAGCAGGGAGGACAGAGGACAAAGAAGCUGGCUGGGCCUUGCAACUCAGAGCAUCUGGGCUGGGAAAUGCAGCAGGACAUGGAAUUGGUGAAGAGUAAUUAAAGAACUAUGGGAACUCCAUUUUAGACCUGGUAGGUAUUAGUAGUAAAAGUUGUCAUUCAGUUUUAUUUUUGGCAUUUAUAAUAGGUUCAAAUAUAAAAGAAGAGACAACACCAAAAUAAAUAGAUCCACAGGGCAGUAAAUUCUUCCAAUGGUCUCAACGUCCUCAGUAAUUACUUGAUAGUUUCCAAUAGUAACUGCAUCUAUAGCCAUGCAUAUUUCCCCAUUUGAGGGAAAUCU
Molecule: long non-coding RNA, 434 nt
Filed under: Homo sapiens (human)
Lineage: Eukaryota; Metazoa; Chordata; Mammalia; Primates; Hominidae
Description: HSALNT0041493
Source: RNAcentral